Acanthosepion pharaonis is the source of this 112-nucleotide non-coding RNA. Lineage: Eukaryota; Metazoa; Mollusca; Cephalopoda; Sepiida; Sepiidae. The record is from the annotation of a GenBank genome assembly.
UCCGCCCAUAUCAGGUUGAAACACCGGUUCUCGUACGAUUACCGAAGUUAAGCAACGUCAAGCUUAGUCAGUAGCUAGAUAUGGGACUUUUAGGGAAUACCAGGUCUUGUAA